Camelus ferus (Wild Bactrian camel) is the source of this 73-nucleotide transfer RNA. It matches the Rfam family "tRNA". From Rfam's summary of the family: Transfer RNA (tRNA) molecules are approximately 80 nucleotides in length. Lineage: Eukaryota; Metazoa; Chordata; Mammalia; Artiodactyla; Camelidae. The record is from Rfam.
GAGAGUAUAGCUUAAGUGGUAGAGCGCAUGCUUAGCACGCACGAAGUCCUAGCUUCAAUUGCCAGUGCUUCCA